CCUACGGGGGGCAGCAGUGAGGAAUAUUGGUCAAUGGGCGCAGGCCUGAACCAGCCAAGUCGCGUGAGGGAAGACUGCCCUAUGGGUUGUAAACCUCUUUUAUAAGGGAAGAAUAAUGACUACGUGUAGUCAGAUGCCCGUACCUUAUGUAUAAGCAUCGGCUAACUACGUGCCAGCAGCCGCGGUAAUACGUAGGUGGCAAGCGUUAUCCGGAUUUAUUGGGUGUAAAGGGCGUGUAGGUGGGAAUGCAAGUCAGAUGUGAAAACU
This 267-nucleotide ribosomal RNA is filed under the name uncultured bacterium. RNAcentral's name for it is "partial 16S ribosomal RNA". It matches the Rfam family "Bacterial small subunit ribosomal RNA", at positions 338 to 602 of the family's 1533-position model. The record is from RNAcentral.